CCUACGGGAGGCAGCAGUGAGGAAUAUUGGUCAAUGGACGAGAGUCUGAACCAGCCAAGUAGCGUGAAGGAUGACUGCCCUAUGGGUUGUAAACUUCUUUUAUAUGGGAAUAAAAUGUUCCACGUGUGGGAUUUUGUAUGUACCAUAUGAAUAAGGAUCGGCUAACUCCGUGCCAGCAGCCGCGGUAAUACGGAGGAUCCGAGCGUUAUCCGGAUUUAUUGGGUUUAAAGGGAGCGUAGGUGGAUUGUUAAGUCAGUUGUGAAAGUUUGCGGCUCAACCGUAAAAUUGCAGUUGAAACUGGCAGUCUUGAGGACAGUAGAGGUGGGCGGAAGUCGUGGUGUAGCGGUGAAAUGCUUAGAUAUCACGAAGAACUCCGAUUGCGAAGGCAGUUCACUGGACUGCAACUGACACUGAGGCUCGAAAGUGUGGGUAUCAAACAGGAUUAGAUACCCUUGUAGUC
This 460-nucleotide ribosomal RNA is filed under the name uncultured bacterium. RNAcentral describes it as "partial 16S ribosomal RNA". It matches the Rfam family "Bacterial small subunit ribosomal RNA", at positions 338 to 795 of the family's 1533-position model. The record is from RNAcentral.